GUAAAAUUUAUUAUAAUGCAUGGCAUACACUUGCAUCUUGGAAAAUACACAGAUUUCCCCAAAUUAUAAAAUUUCAUUUUCAAAAUGUCUUUUAAGCAUGGGUUGAAUUAAAUGUCUGCUGGAACACAAUGAUUAGCAUUCAGACCCUAACAGCACAUAACAGAAUUACGUAACAGAACCCAAUAGCAUAGUACCAAGUUCCUGUAAAUCCAGCACAUUUAUCCUUUAUGUGGCCAAAACUCAACAGCACAUGCCAGUAAGCAAAACACACUUGUAGUUUAUCCAACAAUUCAACACCACCAGCUGUAAAAUGUGUUCACUAAAUAAGGAUCUAAAAGCAAAUCCCCACUAAACUGAUUGAUGUUGCAUGGAUGUUUUACUUGUAAAAUGAGAUUACUUGGGUGAAGACUUGCUACAACCCCAUUGGGGAAUCGUUGCAAUUGGGUUGGAUACAUGUGUGAAGAGAAAGCAUUUGGUUAAGAAAAAGACAACUUUGGAUUUUCUUACGUCAUGUCUUUAUUGUGUGUAAACAAACUCUGAAAAUAGCAUCAGCCAGGUUCUUGAUAAUCGGCAUCAUUAACAUGAUCAAUAUAGUACAUAAUAUCAUGAUUUAAACAUGAUCAUUAUAAUAAAUAACAUGAUAUUUUUUAAAUAACUAUCACAGCUAUUGUCACAGUUCUGUCGAGCAGGGUAACCAUCUUAAAGAGCUGUGUGCGAAUCUUUGUGUGUGUGUGUGUAUGUGUGUGUGUUUAUUAUAUUAUGCCUUUAGUCUGGAGAAUGGAGUUUGUUGUUAGAGUUUAGGUUUUUGGCAAAGUGACCCUUAAUUUCAGAGUCUGAUGAACUUGUGGAAACUAAGUUUAUGCAUCUGCGUGCAGUUUGAAGAAAGUUACAACAGCAUUAGCACAAUUACUGUGAACUUGUAGUCAUUGCAGUAAUGCUAGUCAGUUUUGGCUUACAAAAGGGCGUAGUUAGAUAAAAAUAAGUAAAGUCCGACUACAGAAAAGGGCCUCAUUAUCAAAACCCAAACUAUAACAUUUAAAAUGCUGUGUGUGUGUGUGUGGGGGGGGGUUAGGAUUAGGACACAUCCAUGUGUCUAGUGUCUUAAUGGGUUAGUAGGUAAUCAAAUAGUAACAACUUCUCAGAUUCCUGUUAAAGUAACAAGGGUUGCAAAAAUAACCCUAUUAAAUCAACAAAACAAAACUACAAACGUUCUCCAAGAAUCAAUAGUGUAGUGUUAUGCACACAAAUGCAACAUAAUAUCUGCUUAGUAAUAAUUACUUACAUAAACAACAACAAAUAUAUGUACAAUAACAGAAACUGUAAAAAAAAGAAAACUAUUACCACGUUCAGAACCAGUGACAACGUCGUGUUAUAAGCUUCCGUUUGAAUAGGUAGUGUACUUAUUUUCUUUACUGACCAUUUCAUUGCCACUCCAACGCACAGGGUUUACAACAACCGACAUUUUGUUUAUGGAGGCUAUAUGUACUUUGCCUGACUACUCACACUGCUAUAACAAUCAAUACAUAGUCCGAACCUCUUAGAAGUAAUUUAUGCGGAUGUGAUAACCUACUGGUUUCUGCUACUGGUUUCUGCAACCAAUAAAGUCAAUCAAAAUAAUUUAGUUUUCCCAAAUGGAGAAAAACGGAAAGAAAGCAAAAUCUAGACUCAUCGUGAAGAAGGAAUGUUACUAGGCAUGGCGUUUAGGCAUGGCGUUUAGGCAGAUCAUGUGGAUGGGCAGCCCGGCAAACCAUUGGAUAGUGGGCUCACCCAAAGCCUGUUGCACACCGAGCAUCAAAACUUUGGUCACUUAAAGCUCUCUAACACAUGGGUUACACAGACAGCUUAUGUUGACUUUACAUCCAACUAUUAGAUGGACAUCGCCAUAUUAACCACAUCGUAUUCAUCUAAGAGCAUAAUAAAAAUAUGAUCAGGAGUUCCCCAGUAACAAGUUCCUGUAUAUGAGUUAGUCUGCCUGCUACCUGUCACCCACACUUAAGCAGUUCUCACAAUGGCCUUUUGUUGGCAUGUUUGGGGGAGGAAUGGGCGCGCAGCAGACUAGUCAGACAACGAUGAGGCUUUCAAAUCUACUUAGUGAAAUCAUACCCCUUCUCUGUGGCUAAGGCUGAGCAAUGAAGGCGGGUAAGACAAUCAAACAUUGCUGGCAUUUUCGGAAAACUAAAUUGGGACAACAAGUUUCCAUCCAGAGUUUUUAUACAAGUGAAGUCAUGUGUGAACACCUACUAAAAAUGUAUUCAUUUAUAUUAUUUUCCUGUUUGUAGAAUAACAGUGGAGACAUGAAGUAUGAAAUAACAUGCAAUCAUGUAGUAACCAACAGUUUUUGAUCAAAACACAUAUUGUAGAUACUUCAAAGUAGCCACCCUUUGCAUUCUCCCAACCAGCUUCAUGAGGCAGUCAACAGCAACGCAUUUCUAUUAACAGGUGUGCCUUGUUAGAAGUUCAUUUGUGCAAUAUCUUUCCUUCCUAAUGCAUUUCAGCCAGUUGUGUUCUGACAAUGUGGGGUUGAUAUACAGAAUAUCAUCAUUAUGUCUGUAUUGUAGAAGUCCAUAUUAUGGCAAGAAGAGCUCAAAUACGCAAAGAGAACAGACAGUCCAUCAUUAAGACAAAGGUCAGUCAAUACGGAAAAUGUCAAGAACUCUGAAAGUUAAUUCAAGUGCAGUCGCUGUGAUUUACUUAGAAUUCAAGGCACACACAAUCAACAUGGCUACCACCCCAUUCUGCAGUGAUAUGCCAUCCCAUCUUAUCUGCAUUGGGACUAAUUUGUUUUUCAACAAACCAAGUGCUCAGCAUACGUGGGAACUCUUUCAAGAGUCUUGGUAAAGCAUUCCAGGUGACAAAUUCAUGAAGCAAGCUGUUUGAGAGAAUGCCAUGAG
Molecule: long non-coding RNA, 2891 nt
Organism: Esox lucius (northern pike)
Lineage: Eukaryota; Metazoa; Chordata; Actinopteri; Esociformes; Esocidae
Source: Ensembl